CUCUCCUUUCUCCUCUUUCUCUCGUUUUCUCUCCUCUUUCUUUCUCUCUCUCUCUCUCUCCUUUCUCACUUAUUUUUCUCUUUCUCUCAAAUUCAUUUUUUCCUAAUUCAAGCUGCUUUAUUGGUAUGAAAAACAUUGUCUCACUUUUGCCAAAGCAACAAUGUGUACAAUAUACAUUGUAAUACAAUUAUAAAAAGAUAACAAAUAGUAAUAUAAAAUGGUGGCAAAUGAUAAUACAACAUGAAAUACAAAAAUAACAAGGUAAGUCAGUAGUAGAAAUAUAAUAAAUAAAAAUGGAAAAUGAAACUAAAACUAACUUAUAACUAAAUAACUAAUCUUCACCAUUACAUCAGUACUACAACCACCAUCAUCAUUACCAUCAUCAAAUCAAAAAUCAAAUUGAUUUAUAUAGCCCUCCAUACAUCAGCUGAUAUCUCAAAGUGCUGUACAGAAACCCAAGCUAAAACCCCAAACAGCAAGCAAUGCAGGUGUAGAAGCACGUUGGUAGGAAAAACUCCCUAGAAAGGCCAAAACCUAGGAAGAAACCUAGAGAGGAACCAGGCUAUGUGGGGUGGCCAGUCCUCUUCUGGCUGUGCCGGGUGGAGAUUAUAACAGAACAUGGCCAAGAUGUUCAAAUGUUCAUAAAUGACCAGCAUGGUCGUAUAAUAAUAAGGCGGAACAGUUGAAACUGGAGCAGCAGCACAGUCAGAUGGACUGGGGACAGCAAGGAGUCAUCAUGUCAGGUAGUCCUGGGGCAUGGUCCUAGGGCUCAGGUCCUCUAAGAGAGAGAAAGAAAGAGAGAAGGAGAGAAUUAGAGAACGCACACUUAGAUUCACACAGGACACCGAAUAGGACAGGAGAGGUACUCCAGAUAUAACAAACUGACCCUAGCCCCCCAACACAAACUACUGCAGCAUAAAUACUGGAGGCUGAGACAGGAGGGGUCAGGAGACACUGUGGCCCCAUCCGAUGAUACCCCCGGACAGGGCCAAACAGGCAGAGUAUAGCCCACAAAGAUCUCCACUACGGCACAAGCCAAGAGGGGUUGUGCCUUCCUCUCCCUUUUACACUCUCGCUCCUAUUUUCUAUCUCCUUUUCUCUCUCCUUUUCUCUCUCCCUUCUCCCUCUCUCUCCCUUCUCCCUCUCUCUCCUUUUCUCUCUCCCUUCUCCCUCUCUCUCCUUUUCUCUCUCU
Long non-coding RNA from Oncorhynchus tshawytscha (Chinook salmon), 1192 nucleotides. The record is from Ensembl. NCBI's taxonomy places the organism in Eukaryota, Metazoa, Chordata, Actinopteri, Salmoniformes, Salmonidae.